RNAcentral lists this ribosomal RNA (253 nucleotides) under uncultured bacterium. Its description in RNAcentral is "partial 16S ribosomal RNA". It matches the Rfam family "Bacterial small subunit ribosomal RNA", at positions 524 to 776 of the family's 1533-position model. The record is from RNAcentral.
UACAUGGGGUGCAAACGUUGCUCGGAAUUAUUGGGCGUAAAGCGCACGUAGGCGGUUUGUUAAGUCGGAUGUGAAAUCCCUCGGCUCAACUGAGGAAGUGCAUCCGAAACUGGCAAGCUUGAGUACGAAAGAGGGUCGCAGAAUUCCCGGUGUAGAGGUGAAAUUCGUAGAUAUCGGGAGGAACACCGGUGGCGAAGGCGGCGACCUGGGUCGAUACUGACGCUGAGGUGCGAAAGCGUGGGGAGCAAACAGG